This 1045-nucleotide long non-coding RNA is filed under the name Sus scrofa (pig). Its description in RNAcentral is "lncRNA (ENSSSCG00070001422.1)". Lineage: Eukaryota; Metazoa; Chordata; Mammalia; Artiodactyla; Suidae. The record is from RNAcentral.
UGUAGGGCAGGAUCAAGACCAAGGGAUUUUGCCCACUUGGUCUUCUGCCCUCCAAAAUGGGCCUGCUCAGGCCUGCUCUGGGGUCAGCGUCCCCGUGGUUGGAGACUUUGCUGCCAGCUGCUCAUUAUCUGUGGCUGCUCUGAGGGGACCCUGCCAGCUCCCAAACAGGAAACGUGUUAAGAGAGCUGUAAUUAGAGCUGGGAGCCACAGGCCUGAGAGGUGCCUGCCGCAGCUUCAAGUGCAGACAUGCUGCCCGGGUGAAGUCCCUGGGUGGGAACCCAAAACCUAGAAGCAAGGAAGCUGCCACCAUGAUGCAGCGGGGAGUCCGAGGCCCUGGGAGGUCAUAUGACUCAUUCAAGGUCAUCCUGCUGUGGCAGAGAUGCGAUGAAGCCCUGGCUUUGUGAGUACCUGGUCUAACCUUCUCAUUAUUCUGGAGGAAGCUCUGAGACAAAGGUAGGGUGCAAGAGGCCAGGAGCAAAGGUAGAGGAGGCCUAGGCCUGGUUGGGUCCCGCCCCAACUGACCGUGACUUCCUUUAGCCUCUAUGAAUCUGUCGUGGAGGGAUGAAUCCCUGCUAUGCUCCCUUUUCAGGCUGCUGGGCCACCCAUGGUCAUUGCGGUAAUUUAAGAACACAGCCAUACGUUCUUCAACACUCCUCUUAUUGAGUAACAACCUCUGUGAUCCCUCCCCUUUAGUCUGGGCAGAUUUGUGACUGCUUCACCCUGCAGAGAAUGGCAGAAGAGAUGCCAAGUUAGUAAAGACCAUGCAGCUUUUGCUCACUGGCUCAUGUGCUCCUGGAGCCCUGAGCCACCACAGAGGGUGUAAGAAGAAUCACUGAUCGGGGGCUGCCAUGCUGUAAGGAUGCCCAAGCCACAAGGAGAGUCUGGGUUUAGGCACUCUGGUUAGCAGUCCCAGCUGAGCCCAGCCAUCAAGCCUCUCCUGCUGUUUGAGUUUUCCCAGCUGAGGCCUCAGAUGUCAUGGAGCAGAGACAAAUCUGCCCUGUUAUGCUCGGUCUGAACUCCUGGCCCAUAGAACCUGGGAGCAGGG